Molecule: non-coding RNA, 19240 nt
Organism: Rattus norvegicus (Norway rat)
Lineage: Eukaryota; Metazoa; Chordata; Mammalia; Rodentia; Muridae
Source: RefSeq, a predicted model, not a curated record
GUUGGGUUCUAUUGUGUCCAUUCCAUUAUGUAGACACAAGCCUUCUUUCCCCAUUCUGAUGGAUAUGCAGGGCCUGCCAGUCUGGGGUUAUUAUACAUCUAAAGCUACAUACAGAGAAUCCCAGUGUGGGGGCCAGGCCUGCAAUCCCAGCAGGAGAUGAUGAAGAAUUGCUGAGAUUUCAAGGCCAGCCUGGGUCACAAAAUGAGUUCUGGGCUAGCCUAGACUAUUGUAUGACACCGUGCCUCAAAAACCUAAACUCUAUCAAUGAACCAACCCCUUCAAGACUCCCCCAAACUUUCAAAGAGCUGGAUAAUGGUAUAUAUAUUCAUACACACACACAUGUGCACACACACUCACACAUGCACACACAUGCACACACAUACACACGCACACAUACACACUCACACACACACAAUUUUAACCAAUCAUAAAGGCAAACUUUAGGCAUCUAUCAUCUUUCUGACUGAAAAUUAGAAAGCAGGAGAGACAAACUGUUGAGAUGUUUCCCCAUACUGCGAUGAAAAAGUUAAACAUGAAAAUAGAAGUCUGAGAGCUGUGUAUAAAAUGUGUCAAGCUUGCCCUCUUUCCUCAAAAUAGCACCAGCGAUCACAAUUAAAGGGGUUAAAAACCAUUACGGCAAUAUUUCUGAAAUGAAUCUUUCCUCUUCUCUGGUGACGCCCCCUAAAAACAACCACGUGCCAUGGGGUGAAAUAGCUUCAAAGUUUCCAGAAGACCCAAGUUUUUCAGUGUCGUUUCUCCAUCAUUUUUAGAUAAGGGAAAUUCAGUGCACUUCCGUCCCUGACUUCUCAUGAAGAACUAGGGGAUCACACUUAUCUGGAGGCCUGGUUUGGUGGGGGUGGGGGACGGCUUUCAUCAUUUGAGGGGGUUAGGGAAUGGUUUCCCUGAGCUCCUUCAUUUCUGUCCCUCAGACUUGGAAGAGAGGCCUCAGGAAAGUCAAACAGUUUUUCAAGCCCAGGUAGCCGACGUCCUUAGUAAGAGCAGCCGUGAGCCAGAGGCAGCCUUGCAAGCUCGUCAAAACAACAACAACAACAACAACAACAACACAAGACAUUUACCUCUAAACCCUUUUUAUUAAGGUUUGUGUGUGUGUGUGUGUGUGUGUGUGUGUGUGUGUGUGUGUGUGUGUGUGUGUGUAUCUAUGGGUCUAUGCUAUGGUGUGUGGGUGUCCGUGGAGACCAGAUAAAGCCAUUAGGUCCUCUGGAAUGAGUUCAGGGUGGUUUUGACCUACCCAGGGGUGGUCGGCAACCAAAUCUGGGUCCUCUGCAAGAGAAGCAAAUGCCCUUGACUGCUGAGUCAUCUCUUUAGCUCCCGUAUCGCAUUAAUCUGUUUUUUUUUUUAAACUUUAUUUUAGCCAGGUGUGGUGACGCACCCCUUUCAUCCCAGCGUCUGCGAAGCAGAGGCAGAGAAGAUCUUUUUGAGUUUUCCCUGGUCUGCAUAGCCUGUCUGGUUUGUUCUUAAAAAAAAAAAAAUGAAAACAAACAAAAAAACCCCUUUAUUUCAUUACUAGUCUAUGUGUGGGAGGUGAUCGCAUGUCACGGCGCCGUGUGCAGAGGUCAGAGGACAACCCUGAGGAUUGGUUCUCCCCUUCUGGUUCUGAGGAUUGCACUCAUAUGUCAUCUGGUUUGUGUGGCAAGAGCCGAACCUGCUGAACCAUGUCUUGAGCAACCUCGGCAUACCUCUAAGUCUUCGAGUAGAGUUUUUAUUUCUUGUGAGUAAAUAACCAGGGACAGGACUCUGCUCAUAACAGUAAGUGCACAUUUAGUUUUAGAAGGAAAUGUUGUGUGUUUUUCAGUGACAAACGACAGCAAGUUCUCAGGUGCCUGACUUUUCCCCAGCUACUUGUCUAUGUUCUCCGGUGGUACCGGGUGGGGGGUACCCCCAGCUCUGCUCCCUUACCUAGGAGUCACAGCACUUUUAACAACGUGGGACCUGCCUGGCUACUUCACAGCCGUACGGUCUAGACAACUCUCGGGAGCUACGGCUUGCAAAAGCUUCUUUUCUUUUCCUCUUUCUUUCUUUCUUUGCAUUUAUUUAAUUUUUGUUUGUUCUUGUUUUUAGACUAAAACGCAUUAUGUAGACCAGGCUGGCCUUGAAUUUAUAGAUACCUGCCUGCCUCUGCCUCCAGAGGGCUGGGAUUAAAGGUGUGCACAACCACGACUGGCCAAGCAGGAAUCUUAAAAGCAGGAAUCUUACGAAGUACUUGAGAACAAGGGGGUAACAUUUUGCCUGGUUGCCCUUUUCCUGAAAUAGUGAUCGGGAUACUCUCUAGUGCUCAAAAGGUACACACAGUGUAAAAGCACCGACUACCUCUGCUUUUUCUGCCUCCCAUGGGCUCUGACUCCACUUGAAUGGCUAAGGUACAGCACCACCUUAUCCUUUUUUUUUUUUUCUUUUCUUUUCUUUUCUUUUUUUCGGAGCUGGGGACCGAACCCAGGGUCUUGCGCUUGCUAGGCAAGCGCUCUACCACUGAGCUAAAUCCCCAACCCCCCACCACCUUAUCCUUAAAUGGACUCCUGUUUCCCAAUCUCACUGGACCCUGAGGCCACGUCACUGGGGCAGGAAGGUCCUGCGUUACCAGCUAUGUGUGAUCUCUUCCCUGCUUUGCUUUGCACUGGCAAACUCUUCCCACCUUUCCAGACCCCCCUGUCCCACAAAGCUUUGUCAUUUUAUGGGUUCCCAGCAACUUGCCUUCAAGGGAAGCGAUAUCGGUCACAUUUUAUAGACCAGGUACAAAGUUUGUCCUUCCUAGGUGGAACAGUCUCAGGCCAUUUUGCUUACAUCUCAUUGUGAUACGUGUUCAUAUUCAAGUUACCUGAGGCAGGUGGACUGGUCUGAGUUCAAGGCUAUCCUAGAGUAUAUAUCAAGUACUGGGUUAGCCAGGGCUGCUCAUUAAAAUUCAGUCUUUAAAUACAUACACACACACAUACAUACAUACAUACAUACAUACAUACAUACAUACACACACACACAUACAUACAUACAUACAUACAUACAUACUUAUAUAUAUAUAUAUUUUUUUUUUUUUGGUUCUUUUUUUCGGAGCUGGGGACCGAACCCAGGGCCUUGCGCUUCCUAGGUAAGCGCUCUACCACUGAGCUAAAUCCCCAGCCCCCAUACUUAUAUAUUUAUAUUAACGUUUUCCUCUUCUUUUUUUCCCGGAGCUGAGGACCAAACUCUCAGGGCCUCACACUUGCUAGCAAGCGCUCUACCACUAAGCUAAAUCCCCAACCCCUGUUUUCCGUUUUCCUCUUCCUCCUCUUCCUCCUCUUCCUCCUCUUCCUCCUCCUCCUCUUCCUCUUCCUCUUCCUCUUCCUCCUCCUCCUCCUCCUCCUCCUCCUCCUCCUCCUCCUCUUCCUCCUCCUCCUUCUAUCUUUUUCAUGCCUUUAGCUCCCAUGCAUCUCAUUGGUGCCCACAAACAGCAGAAGCACAACAAAUAUUUAAUAAGGGAAGAAAAUGCUGUAAUCCAUUAGUUCUGCAGUUUCCGUCUACAUUCCACAGUGGACGCCACUCUCCACUGUUCCCUUAGAAUUUCACUAACUGUGGAGACAAUCCCUAGCUGUUUUCACAGAGUGGAAAGUGUAAUGGGAAGUUUGGCUUCUGAGAGUAGAGACUCCUGAUUCCCCACGCAAGAGUGAUUAGUCAACCCAGUAUCACAGCAGAAGAAUCAAAACAUGUUGCUGGACGAAGGAUUUUGAAAGUGCCUGAGCAGGGAGAACAUUUUGUAAAUACUAGAAUGUUCCAGAUGGACAGAGAUCUUGAUAAACACACAUUUGGUUAUCUUACUCAACUCAGUAAGGACUUCAGGAUCACAUGCCUGGUGAUAACCCAGCCCAAGUCACUAAACAACUUGGCCGUGACCUUGUCUUCUCCCCAGGGCCCUGAAACACGCUGGGUACAGGGCCAGGUGUCCUAUACCCAGAAACCCAGGCGGAAUCAUCAGCGAUGACUAAAGGGUGAAGGAGACUGGAUUAUAAAAAGACCUGAAAACAGAACCCACAUGGCAAACCCACGUGACUCAGGGAUGAGUAAGGAUUGGGAAGCAAGGGCUUGGGUCUUGACCCCCCACCCCCAACCCUACCCUCACAAACAAAACCAUCUCCACCGAGGGGAGGUGAGGCCAGGGUAGAGAGAUGACAAGAAAGUACUUGAGGAAAACAAAGGCAGAGCGGGACAAACCCACAAGAGGGGAGAACCUGGCUCUUUCCCUGUGUGCUGGACUAGAAAACAUCAAAUCCUCUUUACAAAACUCAGGGUGACUGAGGUGACCAAAGGAUAGGCGUUCCUUUACCUCCAAACGUCAGGAGAUCUCAGACCUUGACUAAUAUUUAGCCUUUCAUUGUCAGAGGGAUCUUUCAGGAGUGAGACAAAUGGUGAGAGGGAGCAAGGGCUGAGCAGAUGGCCUGUGCCCCCGGUCUCAGCAGAACAGUGCUAUAGGCCCAAGUGUUACCCUUCACCCUUCGGCUGGGCCUUCACAGCAGGUGACUGGGAGGAGAGAGGGUACUUUGAGUCUCCUAGUAUAGCAGAACAGCUUCCAACACAGCGGCUGAAACCUGAGCCUCCAAGCAGAGAGGAAAGGUCAGAGAGUGAAGGCAAUACUUGCUAGGUGUUUGCCAAGGCCUUCUGUGUGCAGGAAGCCUGCUGCUGCCCAUCCAACACCCAGCACCCCUUUCUGUGGCCAAUGACUAUGUUCUCUCUCUGUCUCUCUGCACAGCUAGACCCUGACUUCUGCAUACCUGCAGUCUAGUGACUUAGGAAGGCCACAUGAAUAAGGGACCGCUGGCACUAUAGCUUGAAACAUUAAGGUUUCUAUUUACCCAUCACCCAUCUACACAGGCUCUACUGGGGCCAGGCCCUCUGGUAUAAGAGUGAGUUGAGAGACAACUGGAAGCUAGGCAUAGUGGUAUGUUCCUGUAAUUUGAGCACUCAGGAGGCUGAAGCUAGGGGGCAGACAUGACUUCGAGGUCACCCUUGGCUGCUUAAUGAAUUCCAGGCUAGCCUGAGCUACAGAGACCUUGUUUUAACUCCCCCUUCAAUACUCCUUCUCCAAACCCCAAACAAACAAAAAUGGUGAACACAAAAUGAUGUGUUGAAAGCAGAAGUAGCAUGGGUGUCAGUCCAUGCUGGGCCAGCCCAGCCCCGGGAAUCUUGUGGAAGAGAUGUAAUGUAAGUUUUAUAGCUUUGGUCUAGCUAGAAAAAGUCAUGGAAAACUCUAGUUCUUUUCCAUAGUAAUCUAUCCCUAGUGGUCACUGGUUUUUAGAGCUCUGUGGAAUUCCAGACUUAUCUGAUUCUCUUGGGCAUCUCUCUCUCUCUCUCUCUCUCUCUCUCUCUCUCUCUCUCUCUCUCCCUUUCUUCCUUUAUUUCUUUCCUCUUUUUUGUUUUGUUUCCUCAGUUAAGAAUUAGAAAAAGAAAAAUAUGAAAAGACCACAAAGGGGCUGGAGAGAUGGCUCAGUGGUUAGAGCACUGACUGCUCUUCCUGAGGUCCUGAGUUCAAAUCCCAGCAACCACAUGGUGGCUCACAACCAUCUGAAGUGAGGUCUGAUGCCCUCUUCUGGUGUGUCUGAAGACAUUGACAGUGUACGCACAUACAUGAAAUAAAUAAAUCUUUUUUUUUUUUUUUUGGUUCUUUUUUUCGGAGCUGGGGACCGAACCCAGGGCCUUGCGCUUCCUAGGCAAGCGCUCUACCACUGAGCUAAAUCCCCAACCCCAUAAAUCUUUAAAAAAAGAGAAGAAAAGAAAAGACCACCAAGAAGAUCUGCUGAGUUGGGGAGUCUUGAGUGGCCAGAUUAGGCCACUUAUCAAGGUCCUGUUUGAGAGAAGGAGAGUGUGAGAGAGAAUAGUGUGUGUGAGAGAGGAGAUACAGCUCAGCAGAAGAGUGCUUGACUAGCAUUCAUGAGGUCCUAGGUUCAAUUCCCAGUGCUGGUAAGAAAAAUAAACCCAAACUAGAAAGCAACCAUGGCCAGCAAGAUGGCUUGGGGGAUAAAGGUGCUUGCAGACUUGAUGACCUGGCUUCCAUCCCUAGGACCCACAUAGUAGAAGCGGGAAUCAAUUGCUCGAAGUUAUCCCCGGAGCUCCUUCAUAUGUAACCUUGCAUAUGUCCCCUUCCCUGAUAAAAACACGUACACGCACAUGCAUGCACUCGCACAUACAUAGAUGUUAGGGGUUUUCAAUGUCUAGGUGUGGAAAGAUUCAGUGUUCUUGACUCCACCUGGCAAUCUGCAUGCCCAUUAUGCAGGGGGCUUGGAAAUUCUUGUUCCCCAAAGAGAACAUGUGCUCAGUCUCACCUCAAACUUUGACCCAUACGUGAAGGUAGAGGUCUCCCCUGCACUUCCUUUGCACUGAAGAGGCAUCACCAGGCUCUUCAAAAGUCAGAAUAAUGACCAUGCAAAAGAUGCCAACAUUCUGAGCCUUAGGCUUUGCAAUGUUGAAAAGGAACUUUGUCAAUGUGGUUCAGCUAAGGAUAUGGAGAUGUGAUCAUAAGAAUCCUAAGGAGAAGGAGACAAGAGCCACGAAAGAGGAGGGUGGAAAUGGGAGAGGGAUGGGAAUAAGGAGAGAGGGAGGAAAGGAUGGAAAAAGGGAAGGAAAGAGCGUUGAAGAUGUUGUUGCUGACUCUGAAGACAGAGGUUCCUUGAGCCAAGAAAUGCAGGAGGACCCUAGAAACCAGAAAAAGCAAAUAAACAACCCUCUGUGCAGUCUCUGGAGGCACACAGCCUUGCUGACACUUGAGUUUAGGACCUCUGACCUCUAAGAGGACAAGUUGUGAGUUAGAAGCGACUAAGAUCGUGGUAAUUUGACACAGCAGCAGUAAAAAUGGAAUACAGAGACAGACGCUGUGCAGAAAGAGCAGAAAGCAGGACCUGUCUUCAAAGAGAAAAAGCCUUUAAAGAGUGACCGGGUGGAGCUGGGGUGGGGCUCAACGGUGGCUGGCGUAGGCACUGAUCACACUUCACACGCCCAGGGCAAUCAUCAGCACCAAACGUCAACACUAAAAAGAGCAGCGGGGUGACAUACCCAGACUCCGGCUCCAGCAGGAGGAGCACGGCCCUCUGGAAGUUUGCUAGUGAAGGUGAGGUCACCAGUGUGCCAGUGUAGGUGGCACACUUCCACACUGCAAGAUGACAUUUCAACACUUCUGGUUGCCCAACCCAGGUGGGACCCCACAACUAAAGCAUCACCCCCUCUUCUUCCUCCCUGGGUAACUGUCCCUCUGGGGACAACAGAAGCUUCCCUCUUCUUAAGAGAAAACCAAUGCAAAGGAGACAACGUUCCUUCUGCAUCUAAGUCAGGGUCACAACCUUCCUAAUGUUAUGAUCCUUUAAUCCAGCUCCUCCUGUUGUGGUAAGCCUUCCCCUCCAAAAAAAUUAUUUCUGUGGCUACUUCAUAACUGUACUUGUGCUACUAUUAUGAGUUGUGAUGUAAAUAUCUGUGUUUUCUGAUGGUCUUAGGCGACCCCUGCGAAAGAGGCAUUUGACCCCUAAAGAGGUUAUGACCCACAGGUUGAGAACCACUGAUUUAAUCCCAGGAACUCCUCAAAAUUCUCUCUGUAUUCCAAUCAGCUUCAAGUCCACAUGAACAACCUUGCCCCCAAAACAAAACAACAAAACCAAAUUAAAAAAAAAAACAAAAACCACAGGUCCAACUUCUGUCAAGACAAGAGGGUGCUAGAUGCUAGGAUGACCACAGCCAUGAUUCCUUUGUUCUUUGUCCCCUUGCUUGUCUGUUUCGGAGAAAGGGUUUCAUAUAUCCUUGGCUGGCCUCCAACUCACUAUGUAGUUGAGGGUGAAUUUGAACUCCUGACUCCCCUUGCCUCCAUCUCCCGAGUGCUGGGGUUACCCAUGUGCACCUCCAUACCUGGCUCACUCCCGUUGUUCUAUUGGUCUCCUUAUUUUAUUAACCCGAAGCUACAAUCAAGGGUCAUGAGAGGAGUUAAGAGUGAAAGCCAAAGGGCUGGGGCUGGGGCUGGGGCUGGGGCUGGGGCUGGGGCUGGGACUGGGGUUCUGAGGAAAACAGCAAACAAAGGCCCAAGAGAUGAUCUCAAGAGCCUGUGGCUGAGUUCCUCAAGUCAUUCCUCAAGUCAGAACUGGCAAGAGGUCAUACAGCAUACUACUGUGCUGUCAUAGACACUAGACAUACUUUGAUGGAACCCAUUCUGUGACUUCUCUUGGCUAAAUCCAGUAGGUAGAACGAAACAUGAGGUUAAGGGAAGACAAGGAUCAUGGUGGUGCAUGGAGUCAUUUGUAGAUUAUAAACUACAGAUAGAAGAGGCAAUUUAAAAUUCAUCUCUUGAGACCAUUUGAAAUAAAACACCAAUGGUCAGUAGUUUAAAUAAAUCUUCACUUAGAAUGCUUUAAAUAUGGAUUCAGGAGUCCUCGGAACACAGAGUCAGGGCUAAGUCUGUUAUUCUUACCCCUGGCCAGAGGAAAAAGAGUGAUCACUGAUGGUUUCCUUCGAAAAUGGGGGCUCACCAUUGGUACUAAAGCCCACUGAAUGGAGGACGGAGAAAUCUGCACAGAAAAUAUUUGGGAGUUUUUCUCGGGUGCCACUGUGCUGCUCUGGGGAGUACCUGUUUUCUGCCUGAGGGAACAAAGGGCAUGCGAAUGCUGCAAUACUGAGGAGAUCGGGGUGUGUCUAGGGUGGCCUCUCUUCCUUCCCAGAAGAAAGCUCACGAAGUGCAAGCUCAUGAAACACAGGCCCUCCCCACACUGUACUAGGAAAUGAUUUUUUCAAGGGCGCAUGCCUCCGCACAUGGGAUUCUGGCUGCUUGUUGAGGAAGGGCUCAUUCCAUAUCGUUCUCAGGAAGUCCUGAGAUUUCCUCUCCAUUCUGGCCUGACAGGUGUAAAGGGGAAUAAGGCUAUUUGGAGAGGGGGCCAGGUUGCUGUUUUAAGAUAAAUGAGCCAGAUUUAUAGCCAGCGCUUUACUCCAGAGGUAGAUAUGUAGGCCUGUGCCCUACUUCUCAGAUGCAUAGUCCUAGCCUCCUGAGAACGGCCCUAAGAGAUCAAGAACCUCAUUUAUUAGAUGUAAAUAAGGUCCCAGUUACUUUAGUGGCAAAAGCAUGAUGGGAUGCCUCCCCCUCCUCCCUCACAAUUCCAGGCCAAAGGCCGGCUUUGGCAUUACAUCAUAUAUUAGCCACUCCUUCCUGGUCACUCACCUCCUCAGCUCCUGCUGAAGGUACCCAUGAUGUGCUGUAGCACCACUUGGAACUAAAGACACCCAAAGACACUGGCCUGGCUCCAUGGAGCCCAGGCUGGCUCUGAACUGCUCAUCCUUCUGUCUGCACCUCCCAAGUGCAGAGAUUACAGGUGUGCCCCACCACAGCUGCUCUCUCUCUCUCUCUUUCUCUCUCUCUCUCUCUGCACAGAUAUGUGAGACCAUGCAUAUGUACACAUGUGUAAGAAACAUGCACGCCCAUGAAGGCUGGGGGCCAGCAUCAGGUAGCUGUCUUUAUUGCUACCCACCCACUUUGUCAUAUAGAAUUCCACUGAACUUACCAAUUGGCUGGACUGGCCAGCCAGCAAGACCCCGGAUGCUCCUGUCUUUGCCUCCAGUGCUGGGAUUACAGGUAUGUGCUGUUUACCUCUGGCUUUUUAAAUGAAUGCUGUGGUGACGGGAACUCAGGUCUUCACAUUUAUGCAGCCAGCACUUUACUCGGUGAGACAUCUUCCUAACCCUCCGUGAUUUUAUUUUUUAAGUAGGGUCUUACUAUAAUGUAGUCUAUUGCCUUCAAACUCACUCCAAUCUCAGGAGUUCCAUUGUUACAGCUAUGCACCAUCCUUCCUGGUUCCAUUUGACUUUCUUGGUCAGGACUGGUCUGGAGGCAUCUUGGAAGAGCUUAUCUCAGUUUAAUAUUGCCAGUAGGCUUCUCCUCGUCUUCAUAGGGAAGGGAAAGUGGCAUAGGAAGCAGGGCAGGGGGUGGCUAGGUAGGGUGACACACACUGGCAAUCCUAGCUUAGGAGGAUGGAGGCAAACCUGAGGUCAGGCUGAUUUAUCCACUGAGUUCCGGGGUAGCUAAAGUUAUAUAAAGAAACCUUGUCUUAAAGGAAGGAAGGAAGGAAGGAAGGAAGGAAGGAAGGAAGGGAAGGGAAGGAGGGACUGAGGGAGGGAAGGGAGGGAGGGAGGGAAGGAAGGAGGGAAGGGAAAGGUUGUGGUGGAAGAUGUGUGGAUGUACCAGAGUCAAAAAGACAGAUGGAGAAGAAGAAAAGAACGUGAACAACAGUGUAGGAGGCAUGGGGGAGAAACACAAAGAGAAAAGGAGCUGGGGUGGGGCAGGACAGAGAAAAGAAAGGCGCAAAGAAAUAAGCAGACAGCUGCUGAAAUGGGGAAGCCGUGGCACCACUAUGUAGAAACCAGAACACCCCGUUCUACUCCAGAACUUCAAAACAAGCACCUCUCCGGGAUGGAGCACCCAGUCCUCCGAACCAGUUAUAGCUUCCACCUGGCCAGGGCGAGUGGUGUGCCAGAAAAUUCGGGGUCACAGUCUCACCGCAGGCUAGGGCACUCACGCACUUCUCUGCUAUACUCUGGCCAACAUCCUCUGUUUCUGUGGCUCUGGAGCCACAGCAGAAGGCCAAGGUGAUGCCAGCGUGCACAGCCCCGCAGGGUGCCUGUAAGGCUGCUGGGGCACUGGCCCAGUGACCGGAGAGGGUGUGGCCACUCUCUGCACUCUGAUAGGCUGGACAGGGUUCCUUGGCCUCCUCUACUACUCAGAGGAGGAACUGGGCACGUGUUUCUAUUCACGGAAACACUGGCAUGUCUAACCUCAUCCCUUUCCAGAUCUAGGAGGUACCUGCUGCUAUCUGCCAAUAGCACUGAUAGGCAAAGAAAAUAGUGCUUUGAGUUCUAAGGCACACAACCUGAGGCUGAGAUAAGGUCCGGUUCUGCCCUGAAAGCUGUAGGAGUCAGCAUCUGUUCCUCCUCAAAGAGGUAGGGUAGAAGUGGGAAGCAGGGGGUUGGGGAUUUAGCUCAGUGGUAGAGCACUUGCCUAGCAAGCGCAAGGCCCUGGGUUCGGUCCCCAGCUCCGGAAAAAAAAAAAAAAGAAUUGGGAAGCAGAAUUAGCUUCUAAGAACUACCCCAGAAUCGUCUCUGGUGAAACAGUUUGUUUGUUUAUUUGGUUGUUUUUUUAAGGUAGGAUCUUAUGGAGCUGAAGCAGGCCUCGAACUCACUGUGUGGUUAAGUUUGGCUGGGAACUCCUCGUCCCCCUGCAUCUGCCUCCCCAGUGCUGGGAACACAAGUAUGCGCCAUCGCCCAGACAGUUCUCACACGGGGGGUGGGGGGGUGGGUGAGGAGUCACAUCAUAAAGUCUUCAGGCACCCUGCCUACCUACAACAAACGUUGGCAUUGUUGAACAUGUGACACAACGUGACGGCGGGAAGUUAUAGAUGUAAAUAACCCGACUCCGGAAAACAAAGCAUCAAACCGGAGAGACGGCAACCAACCAUCAAAGCCGGCCUUUCUUCAUAAACGACGCUUUGAUCCUGAGAGCUGCUGUGAUGUGUACAGUAGUGGUUUGGUUUUGAAAUAGAUCUUGCCCACCAUAGCGGAGUAUAUGUUCCUUCCUCAGUCCUUUUCAUCUUGAUGAUAAUUUAGAAACUUCAGAACUCCCUUUUGUAGGAAGAGAGGUUCUUUGAGCGUUUCCUCUCUGCUCCAAGGACAAGCAGUUAGCUGGCCAGCCAGUGUUUCUGGAGGUCAUGCCCGGCACAGCUACUCCUGGACGCUUUGAGCUCCUGCUGGGCCACCUCCUCCUCCCUUCCCCUUCCUUCAUAUCCUUUUCUCUCCAGGGCCAGAUGCUGGACCUGCAGUUCCUGCUGAAUCACCACUCAGUACUUAGUUUAGCCAAGAAGUCUGAACACCUAGCUCAGCGUUUUCCAAGAGCUGAGUAUUCUUUCUACAGUACGGCUCUGAGCUGGGUUGAGAGAUAAAAACCAAGAUGCUGGGAGAACAGGAAUUCCAUGCAGGGAGCCUCAUUUUUUUUUUUUUUCUGGAGCUGGGGACCGAACCCAGGACCUUGCGCUUGCUUACCACUGAGCUAAAUCCUCAACCCAGGGAGCCUCAUUUUAACCCUAGUCCAUACCUUUCCAACUGUGUCUGAAGUUUCUUAUUGUCUCAGUCCCUGGAUCUCAGAGCUGAAGGUCCAGACCCAGAGCAAGGUUAAUGGCUGCUUCUGUUAGGUCUGCCCAGCAGAGUUUGACUGUAUCAUUCAGUCUCAGGGAAGCGGGUGUGGGUCCUAGGAGGGCUGUUAGGUUCUCAGAUUAGAGGUUCAUGGACUCGGUGUUCACCAAGAUUUAUAUAUAAACUGGCUGUAAGUUCCCCACAUGGUUCAGUUAUAACCCAACCGUGAGGGCAGCUAGUACUCAGACUUGUCAAAGGAACUUAACUUGUACUUCCUUUCAUUCAGAACCAGUAGGCCUCACCCUCAUAAUCCUGUAAGCCCUCUGAGUUCAUGCUCUCUGGCAUGUGAUGUAAAUGUGGCAUAUAACGUUAAUCCUUCAGAGUUCAGCAGACCAGCAGAUGAUUUUGUAACUACACCUAUGGGUUCCCCUGGGAAAAACAGAGUGCUCCUUGAGAGAGGUAACAGAAAGGUAGAAGAGGGCCCAAGCUUCUAGGUCGGCAUAAGCGAGUAAGGGGGAUCUUCCUGUUGGAAGCUGAACUCCCAGAAGACUCGUUUCAGGAACCCUCAAGCCUCCCCCAACAUGGUAGAAACAGCCCUGGACACAAACCCUUCACUCCACACACAGCUUUCAGGAUGGGAGCAAACUCCAGUCCGGGAGAGAUAAGAAAGCUGGAGGUUACAAAAGAUGCUAACAGAGGUGGAACCCAAGCCCAGUGAAACUAGAAAGACUUCUCAGGAGACCAGUGGAGGGCCACAGCCUGGCUGGACCCAAACCAGUGGCUCCACGUAUUUAGCACCAAGAAGUCUCUAGGGAACAUGGCCCCCAUGUUCUCUGUGAUAUAUGUAAUUAUUUACUAUGAUAUUUCAAAUAUCAGGCCCUGGGCCAGGAGUUGUUCUUUCUAUUGGAGAUCAAGACUGAGUCCCUGAAAGACGCAUAUGACCAAUGUGACCGAGAUGCCCUCAAUUCCAGGGCAACAAGAAAAAGCAACACCCCGAGGCCCGGUCUGAAAGGGAAGUGGUACUAAGCAUUUAUUCUGUCCCUGGAGUUGUAAAGUCCAAAGGCCCAGGGGAUAUCUUCUCCAAGUCCUAGGAAUGGCUCUUGAGAGUGGAAGGGUGACAAGGGACAGUAUCCAACUACUGAGAGCAGUGUGAAAACAUUAAAACAAGAUCUAGUAUCAUCCUUGAUGAGUUUACAUAUAUCCCCAUUGAAAUAAAAAUGUGCCUUCUUUGCCUUCUACCCAGUCCUGGCAAUUCUCUUUGCAUUUUUUGAGACAGGGUCUCAUUAUGUAGUCCUGCCUGGCCCGGAACUAUCGAUGUAGACUUGGUGAACCUUGAACUCACAAAGGUCAGCCUGCCCCUGCCUCCUGAGUGCUGAUAUCAAAGGCUUGUGCCACCAUACUCAGCAGUCCUGGUGAUUUCUUUCCUAAACACCAAAUACAUUAACUCUUCUCUCCUCAGUGAUGCCACUGAGUCACCUCGUAGACAUUUCUUUUUUUUUUUUUUUUUCUUUUUUUCGGAGCUGGGGACCAAACCCAGGGCCUUGUGCUUGCUAGGCAAGCGCUCUACCACUGAGCUAAAUCCCCAACCCCUCGUAGACAUUUCUAAUGGAGAUGCCUGUGACUACAAUGGAAUCAGUUUCCUCUCCCCUGGCCUUUUUCCCAAGGCCCACCCAUUUGAGAUUCCUCUAAAUGCAAUUCUGAUAAUGCCAUUCCUCUGCUUUGAAACCCUUCCGGUGCCUUCCCACUACCUUGGGGGCAGAGUUGAUCCCUUCAUAACUGGAUCCACACUUCUAUCAUAUUUCUUUGUUUUCUUUUUUUAGGCAGAGUCUCUCUGUGUAGCCCUGGAUAUCCCAGAAAUUGCUAUGUAGACCAGGCUGGUGUUGAACUCAAAGAUUUCCUGCCUCUCUGCCUCUUGAGUGCUAGGAUUAGAGGGGUGCACUACCAGGCCUGGUCUCCUGUUAGAUUUCUUACUGCUUAUUCUAUACUGUGACUGCAUUAAACUACCUAUAGUCCUAUGUCAUGGUCCUAUCAGAAGGACCACGAGAACAUUUUCCUGCCCCAGCCAACAUGGUUUUCUGACUUAUGCUGAACAUUGCCUGGUUAUUUUCAAGUGUUGUUUUAGAGUCUAGAGCCUAGGGUUAGCCUGGAGCUUACUAUGUAGUCCAGGCUGGCCUCAAACUUGUGGUACUUCUCCUGUCUUAGCCUCUGAAUGCUGGGAUUGCAUGUGUAUAUUACAAUGCUUGGCAGAAUGAAGUGUUCUCUCUCUCUCUCUUUCUCUCUCUCUCUCUCUCUCUCUCUCUCUCUCUCUCUCUCUCUCUCUCUGGUCUGUUUCAAUAUCCUAUCUAUUGAGAACAGUUUAUCUGGUAUGUUGUGUUACUUAAGAACUGUUGGACAGUGUUGUAAUGCUCCUCUCAAUAGUACUUCCCAAGAGGCGUCAGACUUAUCUGAGUUACUAAUGUUUUCUUUCCUUCUUCUCUUUGACCUGGUGCUGGGGAUCAAAACCAAGGGCCUUUGUGCCCUCUAGGCAAGUGUUCUACCACUGAGCCACACCCCUCCCUUGGUUCCAUUGUUUUACAGCAGGCAUUUUAGUAGAAUCUUGGGAUGGUCAUCCCAAGGAAGACUUCUAAGCAGAAACCUGCUCAGCACACAUCAGGAGUCUGGGAGGAUUGGAAGGUGGGGAGAGAGGGAAUGCAGUUGGAAUAACUGCCCAUCGCCACCAUGGUAAAAAGGUCCAAUAUGCUAGUUGCUUCCACUGCAAAAACUUCCUGCUUCUCAUGGCACAGAGACUUUGUGAGACUCUUUGAGUUUAGGCCACCACCUCCUUUGUAGCCUGGACAAAUGCUAAGCCUGUUUCUCUUCAUGUUUCAAGCUUCACUCAUCAUUCAUCCAGUGUCAACAUUAGUACAUAUUAUUCCUCAACGAAUCAUGUGUUACUGCUCAAAUGCCUUGAGUAUUCCCCAUUCAUUCAUAUGUAUAUGUGUAUGUAUAUGUGUGUGUGUGUGUGUGUGUGUGUGUGUGUGUGCAUAUGUGUGUAUAUGUAUGCUCUUCCUUGCCUAGUAUAAGGCUAUCCUUCAAGUUCUGCUGUUGCCCACUGUCCUGAGAACUCUUCUGGGACAAGAGAAAGACAAGAAGGAAGUGCCACCCAGGUGUCUGGGCAAUGCUUAAUGUUUUCAGAUGAGAAGUUUGAGUCUAGAGACUAUGAAGGCUCAAGAGAAGAUGGACUGAGCUCAAGGGAUUUGGAUGCUGAAUCCUCUUGUGUCAUGGAGACUUGCAAAACAGGGCAGCGUCCUGCUCCAGGCGGUCUGGGCCUCUGCACAGGGAUUGAGAAGGUUAGAAGAAAUGCCUGAAGUUCUUUCCCUUCCAGAUAGCUCAAGGAAUGGAGAGAAUUGUGCAGCGUUGGAACAGCAAUCUCAGAAAUCUCGGAGGAGAGAUGGAGUCCAGGAUAAGACGCAUUUCCCUUCUGCUAUGCACACAGGGUGCUAUGUGCUCCUUUCUCCACAGGAUGAGGAAGAAGGAAUUUCUUUAGGGUAAGAUCUACCAGAAGUCUAUGUGACAACACUGUCAUUAAAAUGUGGGCAGUGACUUUAGUCCCCAAAGAAAUGAAUGGAACCAGGAAUUAUCUUAAAUGCACACCGAUCUCCAAGAGAAAGAGAGGCAGAAGCCAAACAGUUGGGAAACAUGAUUCUUAGAGGAGGGUUAGGGUGUGCCUUGGAGGUAGAAAGCUUGCCCAACAUGUGAUUAAGACCUUAGGCUUAUCCCCAGUACACCUCCAACCUCUGGCCAAGACACAGAUGGGAGACUGUGAAAGGGCACCCACCAUGUCAUUACAGUCAAUCUGUUUAUAAUAGCUGUUAACUGAACGUUACAGGAGGUCAUGUUUGCACUAAACCCCCAAGCUGGGGCCUCAACACACCAGGCUGAACCUCAAGAUGAAGUCAUCCGUGCUACCAAGCCAUCAGUAAACUUCACCUGACCCUCUAAGGCCCGGGAUUAGAGAGAUAAUGGCCAUAAUUUCCACAGAUGUCACAGUCAAUCAGUAUGACAAAUUCCCUCUCCCCUAAUCCUAAUACAAAGAACUAACAAAAUGAUUUGAGGUGAAGCUAAUCAAUGAUUCUCUUAAUCCCGUGUCUCCCUCGACUGACGUUACAGCAGUGGUUCUCAACCUGUGGGUGGCAAUCCCCUUGGAGGGUCAAAUGGCCUUUUCCCUGGGGGUCACCUAAGAGCAUGGGAAAAUACAGAUAUUUGCAUUAAGAUUAAUAACAGUAGCAACAUUACAGUUAUGAAAGAGCAAUGAAAAUCAUUUUAUGGCUGAGGGUCACCAGGACAAAAAGAACUGUAUUAAAGUGUCACAGUGUUAGGAAGGCUGAGAACCACAGUUAUAUAAGGAUGGUCGGUUUGAAACUUCUGAUCUGCUCUCUUGGCUUUUGUUUCUGGGCUCUAAUUUGUUCUUUAACUCUAGAAGGUCAUGUAAUAGAGAGAAGAUGGGACCCCAUGACAAAAGGGCAAGUCAGAGAGGAAGCAGCCCACACCUACACCUGCGUGCCUCGCUCCUACCUCCACAGAAGGACUGGAACCAUAAGAGAAUCAGCCUGCCUUUACCAGAACCACCAUGCAGGGGCAGGAUGAGGGCAAAGGUGAGAUCAGUUCACUGUGCCUCUUUUUUACGUUUUAUUUCACUCUUCUACUGGAGACUCAGCCACUUGCUUCCGAGAUAAUCAAAAGAAACAAACAACAAGGGCAGGCGUGCCAAAACUGAGUUUUAACACUUCUCAAUCCCCUGCCUACUCCCCCUCAAUGUGCUUGCUCGGGAGACCAGAGAGAAAUGCUUUUCAUCAAAUUAAAAUGUAAAAUGCUUUCUUUUUUUUUUUUUCCCUGCCUGGUGACCGGGGAUAUUCUGCUGACUCAGCUGUGAAUAAUCAGCUUUGACCUAAAUAAUAAAAUAACUCACAGCGCUGUGGUUGCACAAGCAGGUCCAAAUCUGCAGUUCCUUCUUUCCCCUUGUCCUCUCCCCAACCCCCUCCAGGCUCUGGGCAGGCAAGCCAGUUACAUCAGGUUCUUACUGCCUCUCCACUCCCAUCUGGCUUGUCCCAACUUCAUUUCUCUUCAGAGAUCUUCCAAAAAUGGUCCCGCUCCAGAACCAGGCCGACCUCUUCUCCUCCCUCCCGCAGUAAACACUAGCCUUGGGCAAUCUCCUUCCUCGACCCUGCAUUACAGAUUGCUGCUCAGAGGGUGGCCUUUCUUCAAACCUCUCAUGAGUCAGUCGCCAGCCAAAGGAGACCGAGGAAAGCAGAGCUUCCUGUGUCAAGGUCCUGCUGCUGCUGCUGCUGCUGCUUCUCCUCAAAGCCAUGUAGAAGGUGGCGGACUCCCUGCCUCCCUCUCCAAUGUGGGCGGAGACUGACUGACCCAGCUGGCUCACCAGGCACCUGCUAAGAGGCUGGGGUGCGCUGGAUGAUGGGGCAGAGGUGAGACGAAGGAGUGCUGGAAUAAAAGUUGUCAUAAUAGCAGUGCCAUGUGGCACCUCACUCACAGUGAAGUCUGCCGUCAAGAACCCGAGGCAGGAGAAUGAUGAGCUCCAAGCCAGGUUACAUAGUUAAUUCAAGGGUGGCUUGGGCUACAAGGUGGACCCUGUCACAAGGCAGGGGGUGGAGUUGACAGAUGUGAGGAUCCAGGCCUGUGAUCUCAGCAUGUACAGCCUAAGACGUGGGGAAGCUACAAGUUCAAGGUGAUGAGGCCAGCCUGGUCAACACAGAGAGUUCCGGGAUUGCCUGUUCUACACACUGCACUUCAGGCCAGCCCGAGCUACAUCGAAAAACCUUGUCCUCAGGAGGCCGAUCUCUGAGCUGGAAGCCAGCCUGGUCUGUAGUGUGAGUUCCAGGAUAGCCAGGGCUGCACAGAGAAACCCUGUCUUAAAAACCAAACCAAACCAACCAACCAAACAAACAAACAAAAGAAAAAUUUUGUUUCAAAAGUUCCCCUGCCCCAGGUUGAGAGCAUGGCACCCACAAACCCUUUUCAACUCAUGCUACCUUGAGAGACUUUUUGAAGAACGCUGUAGGGGGGGGGGGGGGUUAAUAAAGUACUAGGAGGAGAGGCAGACCUUCUGAUUCCAGCACCAGAGAAGCUGAGGCAGGAGGACUGACACAAGUUUGAGGUCAGCCAGGGGUACAUAGCAAAUUCAAAGCUAACUUGGGCUAUACAGCAAGACCCCCAUCUCCCAAAACAAAACGACAUUCAACAAACUAGGAAACAGAACCUCUGUACACAGACUCAAAGCAUCUGGGACCUGUUCUCCAUCUCUGCUAGUCCCUAACGGAAGUAGGAGGAAUAAAUUUGGGUUUAAGAUUUUUUUUUGUGCUGGAAUAAUAUCUAGAGACAUACCUCAAGGACAGUGAAAAAUUAUUAUUCUCAGAGGACAAGACUGGCUCUGUUCAGAUGGGGGCAAUUUCCUUGCAGCUGCACUCGGGAGGCAGAGGACAGGCCACACAGACUUUAUUAGAUCUUUGAAAGCAGGAAAAGGAGGCAUCAAGUGACUUGUCUGGGCAGUGUGUAUGUCGGGGGUCGGGGGAAUGGAGUGUACUGUACGCAGCCUGCUUCUCUGGAGCUGACUAGAGAAGAGGUUUUCUUAUCACCUGGAAGGGCUGAGACCUUUCUGGACUCUGUGGUGUGUAUGUGUGUAUGUGUAUGUGUGAGUGUGUGUUUAUAUGUGUGUGUGUCUGUGUGUAAGUGUGUGUGUAUGUGUAUGUGAGUGUGUGUGUGAGUGUGUGUAUGUGUGUAUGUGUGUAUGUCUGUGUGUGUGAGUGUGCGUGAGUGUGUAUGUAUGUGUAUGUGUUUGUGUGUGUGUCUGUGUGUGUAUAUGUGUGUGAGUGUGUGUGAGUGUGUCUGUGUGUGAGUGUGUAUGUGUAUGUGUGUGUGAGGGUGUGUGAGUGUGUCUGUGUGUGAGUGUGUGUAUGUGUAUGUGUGUGAGGGUGUGUGUGUCUGUGUGUGUGAGUGUAUGUAUGUGUAUGUGUGUGAGUGUAUGUGUAUGAGAGUGUGUGUGUGAGUGUGUGUGUCUGUGUGUGUGUGAGUGUGUCUGUGUGAGUGUGUAUGUAUGUGUAUGUGUGUGUGAGUGUGUGUGUGU